Molecule: unclassified non-coding RNA, 859 nt
Filed under: Hevea brasiliensis (rubber tree)
Lineage: Eukaryota; Viridiplantae; Streptophyta; Magnoliopsida; Malpighiales; Euphorbiaceae
Source: RNAcentral
AGCAGCUGUUUCACCACUAAGCAUGACACAGUCUGUGCCAUCAAGGACAGCAUUGGCAACAUCUGUUGCUUCUGCGCGAGUUGGUCUUGGAGAUUUGAUCAUGGACUCCAACAUUUGUGUCGCUGUGACAACAGGUUUCCCUUGGAUGUUGCACUUGUAAAUCAUUACCUUUUGAGCCAAAAAGAUUUUUUCAAUUGGAAUUUCCAUUCCCAGGUCACCUCUGGCUACCAUAAAUGCAUCAGAGUUGGCAAGAAUGUCAUCAAAAUUUGCUACACCUUCCUGAUUUUCAACCUUAGACAUUAGAAGGAUGUUCUUUGCAUGUUCACCUAGCAGCUUCCGAACCUCCACAAGAUCUGAACCCUUACGAACAAAAGAUAACGCAAUCAUGUCGAUAUGAUUUGGAACACCCCAGUUUAAGAUGUCAUCCUUGUCUUUAUCUGUUAAUGUUGGGAGAUCCACAAUUACUCCAGGGAGAUUGACAUUCUUUCUUUCCCCAAGAAGAGCUGUGUUCUCACAGCGGCAUCUUACCAAACCUCUCUGUUUGUCACAAGACAAAACGGUGAAGGUGAUUGUGCCAUCUGCACAGAGGAUGACACUUUGUGGCUUUACAUCCUCUGCUAACUUUUUGUAGCUCAUGCAUAUCGUACUCUCAUCACCUUUAAUGCUGUAAUCAGUUGAGACUGUGAUCUCCUGACCUUGUUUAAGUUGAACAGGCUUACCAUCUUUUAAAAACCCUGUUCGAAUUUCAGGACCCUUGGUAUCAAGCAUAACGGCACAGAGAAUACCAGUAUUCUCCAUUGCCUGUCGGAGAUUAUCAAUAGUCUCCUGAUGAUAGUCAUGAGAUCCAUGAGAAAAGUUG